This 267-nucleotide ribosomal RNA is filed under the name uncultured Staphylococcus sp. RNAcentral's name for it is "partial 16S ribosomal RNA". It matches the Rfam family "Bacterial small subunit ribosomal RNA", at positions 96 to 354 of the family's 1533-position model. Lineage: Bacteria; Bacillati; Bacillota; Bacilli; Caryophanales; Staphylococcaceae. The record is from RNAcentral.
CGGCGGACGGGUGAGUAACACGUGGGUAACCUACCUAUAAGACUGGGAUAACUUCGGGAAACCGGAGCUAAUACCGGAUAAUAUUUCGAACCGCAUGGUUCGAUAGUGAAAGANGGUUUUGCUAUCACUUAUAGAUGGACCUGCGCCGUAUUAGCUAGUUGGUAAGGUAACGGCUUACCAAGGCGACGAUACGUAGCCGACCUGAGAGGGUGAUCGGCCACACUGGAACUGAGACACGGUCCAGACUCCUACGGGAGGCAGCAGGCC